GAUGAACGCUGGCGGCGUGCUUAACACAUGCAAGUCGAACGAAGCACUUUAUUUGAUUUCCUUCGGGACUGAUUAUUUUGUGACUGAGUGGCGGACGGGUGAGUAACGCGUGGGUAACCUGCCUUGUACAGGGGGAUAACAGUUGGAAACGGCUGCUAAUACCGCAUAAGCGCCCGGCAUCGCAUGAUGCAGUGUGAAAAACUCCGGUGGUAUAAGAUGGAACCGCGUUGGAUUAGCUAGUUGGUGAGGUAACGGCCCACCAAGGCGACGAUCCAUACCCGGCCUGAGAGGGUGAGCGGCCACAUUGAGACUGGGACACGGCCCAGACUCCUACGGGAGGCAGCAGUGGGGAAUAUUGCACAAUGGGCUAAAGCCUGAUGCAGCGACGCCGCGUGAGCGAAGAAGUAUUUCGAUAUGUAAAGCUCUAUCAGCAGGGAAGAUAAUGACGGUACCUAACUAAGAAGCACCGGCUAACUACGUG
Molecule: ribosomal RNA, 481 nt
Filed under: uncultured bacterium
Lineage: Bacteria
Description: partial 16S ribosomal RNA
Rfam family: Bacterial small subunit ribosomal RNA
Source: RNAcentral